This is a long non-coding RNA of Nothoprocta perdicaria, 343 nucleotides long. RefSeq lists it as uncharacterized. The record is from RefSeq and is a predicted model, not a curated record. Lineage: Eukaryota; Metazoa; Chordata; Aves; Tinamiformes; Tinamidae. The transcript has 3 exons.
GUUAUUUUUAUGUUCUGAAAGAUGAGUGCUACUGAACUCGAGACCGCAAGAUGGAAGCAAAACCAAAAUAUUUUCAAGUCAGUGACUGCCUCCAGCUAAAAGUUGAAACGCCCUGCAAGUGGGGCUUGACUUCUAACGCGGUUAAAACCACUGCAAGGCUGAUAAUAGCAAACCAUCGGAUUGGAAGUGGUUUUUGAUGUGGUUUUCCAUGUGGAGGAAAGAAAACUGUCCCACUCAUUUUGAAGCUGAUUUGGAUGCAGAGGAAGCAGCAUGAGGGAGUUCUGAGCCAGUUACAACCUGAUUGACCUGCUUUAGCCAUCAGACUGCUCUGGGAGCUUCAGAA